CACGUAGGGCGCAAGCGUUGUCCGGAAUUAUUGGGCGUAAAGAGCUCGUAGGCGGUCUGUUGCGUCCGCUGUGAAAACUCGGGGCUUAACCCCGAGCCUGCAGUGGAUACGGGCAGACUAGAGGUAGGUAGGGGAGAAUGGAAUUCCCGGUGUAGCGGUGAAAUGCGCAGAUAUCGGGAGGAACACCGGUGGCGAAGGCGACUACCUGGCCCAUUCUUGACGCUGAGGCGCGAAAGCUAGGGGAGCGAACGGG
This 253-nucleotide ribosomal RNA is filed under the name uncultured bacterium. Its description in RNAcentral is "partial 16S ribosomal RNA". It matches the Rfam family "Bacterial small subunit ribosomal RNA", at positions 524 to 776 of the family's 1533-position model. The record is from RNAcentral.